GCCCCACUCGCACUAUCCUUUUCCAUGUUCCAUGGACCGUGAAAUUGGGUAAUUAUCUAAUUUGGCAUUAAAAUUAGAAAGAUCAUACCAUAAGCAACAAGUGUACUAAGUUUCAAGUUGAUUGGACUUCAGCUUCAUCAAAAACUACCUUGACCAAAAACUUUAACCUGAAACUCCCACUUUCAUUCUCUAUGUUCAGUGGACCGUGAAAUUGGGGUCAAAAGUCUAAUUUGGCUUAAAAAUUAGAAAGAUCAUCUCAUAAGCAACAAGUGUACUAAGUUUCAAGUUGAUUGGACUUCAGCUUCAUCAAAAACUACCUUGACCAAAAACUUUAACCUGGACGGACGAACGGAACCACAGACGGACGGACGGACGAACGGAGCCACAGACCAGAAAACAUAAUGCCCCUCUACUAUCGUAGGUGGGGCAUAAAAAUUGUACACCAACACAGAAUUA
This 456-nucleotide long non-coding RNA is filed under the name Mytilus galloprovincialis (Mediterranean mussel). The record is from RNAcentral. Lineage: Eukaryota; Metazoa; Mollusca; Bivalvia; Mytilida; Mytilidae.